This 497-nucleotide ribosomal RNA is filed under the name uncultured bacterium. Its description in RNAcentral is "partial 16S ribosomal RNA". It matches the Rfam family "Bacterial small subunit ribosomal RNA", at positions 28 to 507 of the family's 1533-position model. The record is from RNAcentral.
GAUGAACGCUGGCGGCGUGCCUAAUACAUGCAAGUCGAGCGAACAGACGAGGAGCUUGCUCCUCUUACGUUAGCGGCGGACGGGUGAGUAACACGUGGAUAACCUACCUAUAAGACUGGGAUAACUUCGGGAAACCGGAGCUAAUACCGGAUAAUAUAUUGAACCGCAUGGUUCAAUAGUGAAAGACGGUUUUGCUGUCACUUAUAGAUGGAUCCGCGCCGCAUUAGCUAGUUGGUAAGGUAACGGCUUACCAAGGCAACGAUGCGUAGCCGAACUGAGAGGGUGAUCGGCAACACUGGAACUGAGACACGGUCCAGACUCCUACGGGAGGCAGCAGUAGGGAAUCUUCCGCAAUGGGCGAAAGCAUGACGGAGCAACGCCGCGUGAGUGAUGAAGGUCUUCGGAUCGUAAAACUCUGUUAUUAGGGAAGAACAAAUGUGUAAGUAACUAUGCACGUCUUGACGGUACCUAAUCAGAAAGCCACGGCUAACUACGUG